This is an RNA transcript of Cercocebus atys (sooty mangabey), 1827 nucleotides long. It is a transcript of the gene named eukaryotic translation initiation factor 4B pseudogene, with no coding region annotated. The record is from RefSeq and is a predicted model, not a curated record. NCBI's taxonomy places the organism in Eukaryota, Metazoa, Chordata, Mammalia, Primates, Cercopithecidae. The transcript is spliced from 2 exons.
AUGGUGGCUCACACCUAUUGUCACUCUCCAACUUCUAAACCUCCCAAACCUGAUCAGCCCCUAAAGGUAACGCCAGCCCCUCCACCAAAGGAGAAUGCUUGGGUGAAGCGAAGUUCUAACCCUCCAGCUGGAUCUCAGAGCUCAGACACAGAGCAGCAAUCCCCUACAAGUGGUGGGGGAAAAGUAGCUCCAGCUCAACCAUCUGAGGAAGGACCAGCAAGGAAAGAUGAAAAUAAAGUAGAUGGGAUGAAUGUCCCAAAAGGCCAAACUGGGACCUCUAGCCGUGGACCAGGAGACGGAGGGAACAAAGACCACUGGAAGGAGUCAGAUGGGAAAGAUGGCAAAAAGGAUCAAGACUCCAGAUCUGCACCUGAGCCAAAGAAACCUGAGGAAAAUCCAGCUUCCAAGUUCAGUUCUGCAAGCAAGUAUGCUGCUCUCUCUGUUGAUGGUGAAGAUGAAAACGAGGGAGAAGAUUAUGCCGAAUAGACCUCUACAUCCUGUGCUUUCUCCUGGUUUCUCUCCACCCUGGAACAUUCGAGAGCAAAUCAAAACCUCUAUCCAGACAAGACAAAAUAAAACUCACCAUCUCCUGAAGACCUUUCUUACCUUUUUUUAAAAACAAAAAAUGAAAUUAUUUUGCAUGCUGCUGCAGCCUUUAAAGUAUUGAAGUAACUGGAGAAUCGCCAGUAUAGCCAGAGAGAAAGGGACUACAGCUUUUUAGAGGAAGAGUUGUGGUGCAUUAUGUCACCACACAGUUGCCAGUGUGAUUAGUGCCUAGGGGCCUCCAUUUAGCAGAAAUGGUAAUGACAGUGAUAUAACGUCUGGAACCUGGUUGGGCAGUAGGGGAGGGAGGUAGAAGGAAAAUUGUGAGAUUUCUACCUUUUAGUUUUUAUCCUAUUGUGGCAUAUAUGAAUUCUCAAAACAUUAUCUGAAUAAAUUUUCCACUCUUGGAAAGGUAGAUUUAGCCUCAAGUUGUUUUAGUCUCCAGGAGGCUGCCAGCCCCUCCUCUUAUUUAAUUCUGAGUUUUGGGGGCCAACCUAGGGGGAAUUUUUUUUUAACCCCCCAGGGGGGUAGUUGGGAGUGAGACUAUAAGCCAUAAAGAAUAGGACUGCAUUGGACCAAAAUAAAUGGAAAAUCGUGGUUUGAAAAGAAGCUUUUGGGAAGUGAUGAGUCAUUUUGUACCAGGUAAUAGGGGAAAAUUGUGUGACCUCCAGCAAACACAUGAAUGGUUAUUUCCUGGAGCCGGAAGCACUUGGGGGUCGUGGUAAUUCCCAGUGUUUUCUGUGUCCUAGUUUUACCCUUUCUAAACACUGUCCUUUUUGAAAGUUUGAAUAUAUCCACAUUCUGUUGAAACCUUGAAACUAAAAACUUAGACUCUUGUCGUCAUCUUAAGUUCUUCGUGCUACUCUUAACCUCCCAAAAAGCAAUCUCUUAAGUCACAUAGGUGAUGUCUUGGGCAUUUUCUCUCUCAGCCGUGGAGAGCUGUGAAAGGAAGAAUUGCUGCUUUUCUCAAGCAAAUCGGUUUCUUGAUGUCUUUUGGUUCUCACUCCUUGCCUGCUCCUGAUGCUUUGACCCCUUUUAUAGAUCAGAGUGCUCUAGAAUAAUGGAUGGUCUUGGAUGGUGGAUAAAUAGGGACAGGGACAGUUAAAUUGGGAGCCUUUUUUACAACCUUGAUGAGUUUUUUUCCCCCUACAUUUCCUUCUUCACUGAAAUGCUACACCAAUGCUUGUUGGAUUCAUGAGGUAGCCAGACCAAUGUGUUGUUUUUCUUUAUUAUUAUUUUUUAAAGCUUCCCUUGAGAGAAUAAAUGGUAAUGGAGAGAACUAUU